Molecule: ribosomal RNA, 660 nt
Filed under: Rhodococcoides fascians
Lineage: Bacteria; Bacillati; Actinomycetota; Actinomycetes; Mycobacteriales; Nocardiaceae
Description: bacterial SSU rRNA
Rfam family: Bacterial small subunit ribosomal RNA
Source: RNAcentral
GAUCUGCCCUGCACUCUGGGAUAAGCUUGGGAAACUGGGUCUAAUACCGGAUAUGACCACAGCAUGCAUGUGUUGUGGUGGAAAGAUUUAUCGGUGCAGGAUGGGCCCGCGGCCUAUCAGCUUGUUGGUGGGGUAAUGGCCUACCAAGGCGACGACGGGUAGCCGACCUGAGAGGGUGACCGGCCACACUGGGACUGAGACACGGCCCAGACUCCUACGGGAGGCAGCAGUGGGGAAUAUUGCACAAUGGGCGGAAGCCUGAUGCAGCGACGCCGCGUGAGGGAUGAAGGCCUUCGGGUUGUAAACCUCUUUCAGCAGGGACGAAGCGUGAGUGACGGUACCUGCAGAAGAAGCACCGGCUAACUACGUGCCAGCAGCCGCGGUAAUACGUAGGGUGCGAGCGUUGUCCGGAAUUACUGGGCGUAAAGAGUUCGUAGGCGGUUUGUCGCGUCGUUUGUGAAAACCCGGGGCUCAACUUCGGGCUUGCAGGCGAUACGGGCAGACUUGAGUGUUUCAGGGGAGACUGGAAUUCCUGGUGUAGCGGUGAAAUGCGCAGAUAUCAGGAGGAACACCGGUGGCGAAGGCGGGUCUCUGGGAAACAACUGACGCUGAGGAACGAAAGCGUGGGUAGCAAACAGGAUUAGAUACCCUGGUAGUCCA